UGAAUUUCAUUGAUGUCAUUCGGAGUAACCAAUAUAAAGGGACCAUUUUGGAUCAAGUCAUGCAGUCAGUAUCAUGUGACAGGAUGUGACAUCAUUCAGACACCUGCAAAGGACCACAUGGUCAUGAAGCAAAAGAACGGAACAAACAGGUUUGUUUUCAUCAGUUAUACCAGAACCUGGAAAGAGGCUCAGAGCUACUGCAGACAUUAUUACACAGAUCUGGUCAUCAUUCGGAAUCAAACUGAGAAUAACCAGCUGACUGUGAUGAUGCAACCAUAUGCAAGUGUUUGGAUUGGUCUGUUCAGAGACAUAUGGAAAUGGUCAGAUGCAACAAAUGUCUCCACUUCCUUCAUUACCUGGAUGACAGGACAGCCUGACAUGAUUGGGCUGCAAAGACCUUGUGGUGUUUCAGAUCCUUCUGGUUUGAUCAGUGAUCAGCUCUGCUCAAACGUCCUGCCUUUCCUCUGCAUGGACCGCCGCACAAAACAACAGAUUGUGAGAAUAAAGGUGAAAUCUAGUCAGAAUAUAAUUGACCCUGAAGUGAUGGAGGCCAUCUUACAGUUGAUGAAGCAGAAGCUGAAGGAACAGGGGAUAGAAAAGGACACAAGUGUGACAUGGAACGUUCAACCAAAUGGAAAUGUUUUUCACAAGAUUGAAAAUAAACCAUGAGUUACACUUUUGUGAGGUGAUUUAUCAAAUUGACAGAAGUUUGCAAGAAAAUCAUGACCUUUCUCUUCUCUAAUUAAUUUAAUCAUAUUAUAUUACUUUAUACCAUCCCCUGAGUGCACCAAGUUUUGAGGGAGGCCAAUGUCAGUCCAGGCUCACUUUGAGUCACAGAAGUAUUUAUAAUACACUGUUUCAGUACAUAAAAAUGUAAUUCUGUGCUGGUUGUGAAAUGUAAAUUCAAUAGUACAUGUAAAAUGUGUUAGUAUAUAUUUUUAACUUUAGCAAUAUCUUAAACUUUCAGCAAUAUCCUAAUACCAGUUCAGUGACAAAUAACUGUAACCAUAAUUUUAUUUGAUUUAAGUUUUAUUUUAGCAUAGCUGUGAUUUCAAUGAACAGUGGGGCAUGUCAUGCUGCUUCUUUAUAAAAAGCUUUUGAUUUCUUUUAUUCAAACACUUAAAAUGUACUGUACAGAUAUGAUACAGAUACAAAUUAAAUGUUUUAAAGAGAUCAGUUUUUUCCAAUAAAAUGAGUAGUAAUGUUGGUCAAGAUCAUUUUCUGCAUAUUCAUUUUUUAUUAUUAUUUAGCAUAGGUAAACUGCUAGUAACUGCUAGUAACAUAGGUAAAGUGCUAAUACAUUAUUUUCAAAUUAGU
This is a long non-coding RNA of Ctenopharyngodon idella (grass carp), 1317 nucleotides long. RefSeq lists it as uncharacterized. The record is from RefSeq and is a predicted model, not a curated record. The transcript has 4 exons. Lineage: Eukaryota; Metazoa; Chordata; Actinopteri; Cypriniformes; Xenocyprididae.